Molecule: ribosomal RNA, 382 nt
Filed under: uncultured eukaryote
Lineage: Eukaryota
Description: partial 18S ribosomal RNA
Rfam family: Eukaryotic small subunit ribosomal RNA
Source: RNAcentral
UGUAAGCGUAUACCAAAGUUGUUGCAGUUAAAACGCUCGUAGUCGGAACUUGGCCGUUCCGGAUGUGUGCACGUCGUGUGCGCACUUUGUAGGGACGGCUUUUGUGGUCUUGCGUAGGAUGAGGCACUUUUAUUAGUGAACGUCCUCACGCAACCACUCUUUACUGUGAGAAAAUCAGAGUGCUCAAAGCAGGCAUUUGCCGUGAAUGUAUUAGCAUGGAAUAAUAGAAUAGGACUCGGUUCUAUUUUGUUGGUUUGUUGGGACUGAGUAAUGAUUAAGAGGGACAGUUGGGGGCAUUUGUAUUUCGGCGCUAGAGGUGAAAUUCUUAGAUUGCCGAAAGACAAACUGCUGCGAAAGCGUCUGCCAAGGAUGUUUUCAUUGA